This 821-nucleotide ribosomal RNA is filed under the name Xerocrassa cisternasi redonae. Its description in RNAcentral is "partial 16S ribosomal RNA". The stretch from base 344 to 503 matches the Rfam family "Archaeal large subunit ribosomal RNA", at positions 1886 to 2093 of the family's 2987-position model. Lineage: Eukaryota; Metazoa; Mollusca; Gastropoda; Stylommatophora; Geomitridae. The record is from RNAcentral.
GGGGCGUGAGCUACCCAGCAAAACAUUAUAGUGUGACGCCAUAUAUGUUGCAGUAUAUAGAGUAAUAUUGUUGGUUAGGGGUGAUAGGCCUCACAAGCGCCCCGAUAACUUGUUACUUAGGACACAUAUUAAGUAUUAUCUCAUCUUUGAAGUGCUAAGGUUUCAAAGGCGUAUUAACUAGAAGGCGAAGAAGGUAAAUUAUUUAACAAUAAUUACUUGAUGUAGAUUAACACUCCUUAUAGAUGUUUAUAUAUUUUACUAAGUCACACUUUAAACAUUAUUCUGUGUUAUUACUGUUAAUAUAAGUAUGUGGAUAAAGCUUUGAUAGGAACUCGGCAAAUAUCUUACUCGUCUGUUUAUCAAAAACAUAGCUAAAUGUUUUAAAUAUUUAGUUGUUUCUGCUCAAUGGUUAAACUAAAUAGCCGCAGUACCCUGACUGUGCAAAGGUAGCAUAAUCAUUUGGCUUAUAAUUGAAGUCUGGCAUGAAUGAAUUAACGGGUAAGCACUGUCUUUCAAAGCAACUUAGAAGUUACUUAGUAGGUGAAAAUUCCUACAGGUAAAUAAUAGACGAGAAGACCCUAGAAAUUUUAUAUAAGUUAAUAGGCGUAUUAAUAUUAUUUUGUUGGGGCGACAGAAUAACACAUAACUUAUUUUAUUUAAUUAGAACUAAUUGGUGUGAGAAAUUAAAUUACUCUAGGGAUAACAGCAUAAUUUAUUAAAGUUUGUGACCUCGAUGUUGGACUAGGGACUAUAACACCCAGAAGGUGUUAUAAUAGGCUCUGUUCGAGCUUUGACCCCUACAUGAUCUGAGUCAGACCGCU